RNAcentral lists this ribosomal RNA (484 nucleotides) under uncultured bacterium. Its description in RNAcentral is "partial 16S ribosomal RNA". It matches the Rfam family "Bacterial small subunit ribosomal RNA", at positions 30 to 507 of the family's 1533-position model. The record is from RNAcentral.
AUUGAACGCUGGCGGCAGGCCUAACACAUGCAAGUCGAGCGGAUAAAGGCAGCUUUCUCCUGGAUCCAGCGUCGGACGGGUGAGUAAUGCCUAUGAAUCUCCCUGGUAGUGGGGGAUAACGACCGCAAACGGCCGCUAAUACUGCCUACGUCCUGAGCCAGCAAGUUGGGGAUCUUCGGACCUCACGCGCUCAUAUGAGUCUAGGUGGGUUUAGCUAGUUGGUGGGGUAAGGGCCUACCAAGGCGGCGAUUCGUAACUGGUCUGCGAGGAUGGUCAGUCACAUGGGAGCGGGGACAGGGUCCAGACGCCUACGGGAGGCAGCAGUGGGGAAUGUUGGGCAAUGGGCGAAAGCCUGAUACAGCCAGCCGACGUGUGUGAAGAAGAUGUUCGGAGUGUGAAGCACUUUAAGGUGUGAGGAAGGGCAGUAAGUUAAGACCUAGCUUUUUUGACGUUACCAGCAGAAGAAGCACCGGCUAACUUCGUG